GUUUUUAUAAUUUAAGAAAAAUAUUAGUCUUGUAAACUAAAAAUAAGAAACCCUUUAAAAACA
RNAcentral lists this transfer RNA (63 nucleotides) under unidentified. RNAcentral describes it as "Strongylium pinfaense tRNA-Thr". It matches the Rfam family "tRNA". Rfam says of the family: Transfer RNA (tRNA) molecules are approximately 80 nucleotides in length. The record is from RNAcentral.